This 791-nucleotide ribosomal RNA is filed under the name uncultured bacterium. RNAcentral describes it as "bacterial SSU rRNA". It matches the Rfam family "Bacterial small subunit ribosomal RNA", at positions 8 to 794 of the family's 1533-position model. The record is from RNAcentral.
AGAGUUUGAUCAUGGCUCAGAUUGAACGCUGGCGGCAGGCCUAACACAUGCAAGUCGAGCGGUAGAGAGAAGCUUGCUUCUCUUGAGAGCGGCGGACGGGUGAGUAAUGCCUAGGAAUCUGCCUGGUAGUGGGGGAUAACGUCCGGAAACGGACGCUAAUACCGCAUACGUCCUACGGGAGAAAGCAGAGGACCUUCGGGCCUUGCGCUAUCAGAUGAGCCUAGGUCGGAUUAGCUAGUUGGUGGGGUAAUGGCUCACCAAGGCGACGAUCCGUGACUGGUCUGAGAGGAUGAUCAGUCACACUGGAACUGAGACACGGUCCAGACUCCUACGGGAGGCAGCAGUGGGGAAUAUUGGACAAUGGGCGAAAGCCUGAUCCAGCCAUGCCGCGUGUGUGAAGAAGGUCUUCGGAUUGUAAAGCACUUUAAGUUGGGAGGAAGGGCAGUAAAUUAAUACUUUGCUGUUUUGACGUUACCGACAGAAUAAGCACCGGCUAACUCUGUGCCAGCAGCCGCGGUAAUACAGAGGGUGCAAGCGUUAAUCGGAAUUACUGGGCGUAAAGCGCGCGUAGGUGGUUCGUUAAGUUGGAUGUGAAAUCCCCGGGCUCAACCUGGGAACUGCAUUCAAAACUGACGAGCUAGAGUAUGGUAGAGGGUGGUGGAAUUUCCUGUGUAGCGGUGAAAUGCGUAGAUAUAGGAAGGAACACCAGUGGCGAAGGCGACCACCUGGACUGAUACUGACACUGAGGUGCGAAAGCGUGGGGAGCAAACAGGAUUAGAUACCCCGGUAGU